This 2901-nucleotide ribosomal RNA is filed under the name Escherichia coli. RNAcentral describes it as "bacterial LSU rRNA". It matches the Rfam family "Bacterial large subunit ribosomal RNA". The record is from RNAcentral. Lineage: Bacteria; Pseudomonadati; Pseudomonadota; Gammaproteobacteria; Enterobacterales; Enterobacteriaceae.
UUAAGCGACUAAGCGUACACGGUGGAUGCCCUGGCAGUCAGAGGCGAUGAAGGACGUGCUAAUCUGCGAUAAGCGUCGGUAAGGUGAUAUGAACCGUUAUAACCGGCGAUUUCCGAAUGGGGAAACCCAGUGUGAUUCGUCACACUAUCAUUAACUGAAUCCAUAGGUUAAUGAGGCGAACCGGGGGAACUGAAACAUCUAAGUACCCCGAGGAAAAGAAAUCAACCGAGAUUCCCCCAGUAGCGGCGAGCGAACGGGGAGCAGCCCAGAGCCUGAAUCAGUGUGUGUGUUAGUGGAAGCGUCUGGAAAGGCGCGCGAUACAGGGUGACAGCCCCGUACACAAAAAUGCACAUAUUGUGAGCUCGAUGAGUAGGGCGGGACACGUGGUAUCCUGUCUGAAUAUGGGGGGACCAUCCUCCAAGGCUAAAUACUCCUGACUGACCGAUAGUGAACCAGUACCGUGAGGGAAAGGCGAAAAGAACCCCGGCGAGGGGAGUGAAAAAGAACCUGAAACCGUGUACGUACAAGCAGUGGGAGCACGCUUAGGCGUGUGACUGCGUACCUUUUGUAUAAUGGGUCAGCGACUUAUAUUCUGUAGCAAGGUUAACCGAAUAGGGGAGCCGAAGGGAAACCGAGUCUUAACUGGGCGUUAAGUUGCAGGGUAUAGACCCGAAACCCGGUGAUCUAGCCAUGGGCAGGUUGAAGGUUGGGUAACACUAACUGGAGGACCGAACCGACUAAUGUUGAAAAAUUAGCGGAUGACUUGUGGCUGGGGGUGAAAGGCCAAUCAAACCGGGAGAUAGCUGGUUCUCCCCGAAAGCUAUUUAGGUAGCGCCUCGUGAAUUCAUCUCCGGGGGUAGAGCACUGUUUCGGCAAGGGGGUCAUCCCGACUUACCAACCCGAUGCAAACUGCGAAUACCGGAGAAUGUUAUCACGGGAGACACACGGCGGGUGCUAACGUCCGUCGUGAAGAGGGAAACAACCCAGACCGCCAGCUAAGGUCCCAAAGUCAUGGUUAAGUGGGAAACGAUGUGGGAAGGCCCAGACAGCCAGGAUGUUGGCUUAGAAGCAGCCAUCAUUUAAAGAAAGCGUAAUAGCUCACUGGUCGAGUCGGCCUGCGCGGAAGAUGUAACGGGGCUAAACCAUGCACCGAAGCUGCGGCAGCGACGCUUAUGCGUUGUUGGGUAGGGGAGCGUUCUGUAAGCCUGUGAAGGUGUGCUGUGAGGCAUGCUGGAGGUAUCAGAAGUGCGAAUGCUGACAUAAGUAACGAUAAAGCGGGUGAAAAGCCCGCUCGCCGGAAGACCAAGGGUUCCUGUCCAACGUUAAUCGGGGCAGGGUGAGUCGACCCCUAAGGCGAGGCCGAAAGGCGUAGUCGAUGGGAAACAGGUUAAUAUUCCUGUACUUGGUGUUACUGCGAAGGGGGGACGGAGAAGGCUAUGUUGGCCGGGCGACGGUUGUCCCGGUUUAAGCGUGUAGGCUGGUUUUCCAGGCAAAUCCGGAAAAUCAAGGCUGAGGCGUGAUGACGAGGCACUACGGUGCUGAAGCAACAAAUGCCCUGCUUCCAGGAAAAGCCUCUAAGCAUCAGGUAACAUCAAAUCGUACCCCAAACCGACACAGGUGGUCAGGUAGAGAAUACCAAGGCGCUUGAGAGAACUCGGGUGAAGGAACUAGGCAAAAUGGUGCCGUAACUUCGGGAGAAGGCACGCUGAUAUGUAGGUGAAGCGACUUGCUCGUGGAGCUGAAAUCAGUCGAAGAUACCAGCUGGCUGCAACUGUUUAUUAAAAACACAGCACUGUGCAAACACGAAAGUGGACGUAUACGGUGUGACGCCUGCCCGGUGCCGGAAGGUUAAUUGAUGGGGUCAGCGCAAGCGAAGCUCUUGAUCGAAGCCCCGGUAAACGGCGGCCGUAACUAUAACGGUCCUAAGGUAGCGAAAUUCCUUGUCGGGUAAGUUCCGACCUGCACGAAUGGCGUAAUGAUGGCCAGGCUGUCUCCACCCGAGACUCAGUGAAAUUGAACUCGCUGUGAAGAUGCAGUGUACCCGCGGCAAGACGGAAAGACCCCGUGAACCUUUACUAUAGCUUGACACUGAACAUUGAGCCUUGAUGUGUAGGAUAGGUGGGAGGCUUUGAAGUGUGGACGCCAGUCUGCAUGGAGCCGACCUUGAAAUACCACCCUUUAAUGUUUGAUGUUCUAACGUUGACCCGUGAUCCGGGUUGCGGACAGUGUCUGGUGGGUAGUUUGACUGGGGCGGUCUCCUCCUAAAGAGUAACGGAGGAGCACGAAGGUUGGCUAAUCCUGGUCGGACAUCAGGAGGUUAGUGCAAUGGCAUAAGCCAGCUUGACUGCGAGCGUGACGGCGCGAGCAGGUGCGAAAGCAGGUCAUAGUGAUCCGGUGGUUCUGAAUGGAAGGGCCAUCGCUCAACGGAUAAAAGGUACUCCGGGGAUAACAGGCUGAUACCGCCCAAGAGUUCAUAUCGACGGCGGUGUUUGGCACCUCGAUGUCGGCUCAUCACAUCCUGGGGCUGAAGUAGGUCCCAAGGGUAUGGCUGUUCGCCAUUUAAAGUGGUACGCGAGCUGGGUUUAGAACGUCGUGAGACAGUUCGGUCCCUAUCUGCCGUGGGCGCUGGAGAACUGAGGGGGGCUGCUCCUAGUACGAGAGGACCGGAGUGGACGCAUCACUGGUGUUCGGGUUGUCAUGCCAAUGGCACUGCCCGGUAGCUAAAUGCGGAAGAGAUAAGUGCUGAAAGCAUCUAAGCACGAAACUUGCCCCGAGAUGAGUUCUCCCUGACUCCUUGAGAGUCCUGAAGGAACGUUGAAGACGACGACGUUGAUAGGCCGGGUGUGUAAGCGCAGCGAUGCGUUGAGCUAACCGGUACUAAUGAACCGUGAGGCUUAACCU